UAAUAGCUCACUGGUCGAGUCGGCCUGCGCGGAAGAUGUAACGGGGCUAAACCAUGCACCGAAGCUGCGGCAGCGACGCUUAUGCGUUGUUGGGUAGGGGAGCGUUCUGUAAGCCUGUGAAGGUGGCCUGUGAGGGUUGCUGGAGGUAUCAGAAGUGCGAAUGCUGACAUAAGUAACGAUAAAGCGGGUGAAAAGCCCGCUCGCCGGAAGACCAAGGGUUCCUGUCCAACGUUAAUCGGGGCAGGGUGAGUCGACCCCUAAGGCGAGGCCGAAAGGCGUAGUCGAUGGGAAACAGGUUAAUAUUCCUGUACUUGGUGUUACUGCGAAGGGGGGACGGAGAAGGCUAUGUUGGCCGGGCGACGGUUGUCCCGGUUUAAGCGUGUAGGCUGGUUUUCCAGGCAAAUCCGGAAAACCAAGGCUGAGGCGUGAUGACGAGGCACUACGGUGCUGAAGCGACAAAUGCCCUGCUUCCAGGAAAAGCCUCUAAGCAUCAGGUAACAUCAAAUCGUACCCCAAACCGACACAGGUGGUCAGGUAGAGAAUACCAAGGCGCUUGAGAGAACUCGGGUGAAGGAACUAGGCAAAAUGGUGCCGUAACUUCGGGAGAAGGCACGCUGAUAUGUAGGUGAAGCGACUUGCUCGUGGAGCUGAAAUCAGUCGAAGAUACCAGCUGGCUGCAACUGUUUAUUAAAAACACAGCACUGUGCAAACACGAAAGUGGACGUAUACGGUGUGACGCCUGCCCGGUGCCGGAAGGUUAAUUGAUGGGGUUAGCGGUAACGCGAAGCUCUUGAUCGAAGCCCCGGUAAACGGCGGCCGUAACUAUAACGGUCCUAAGGUAGCGAAAUUCCUUGUCGGGUAAGUUCCGACCUGCACGAAUGGCGUAAUGAUGGCCAGGCUGUCUCCACCCGAGACUCAGUGAAAUUGAACUCGCUGUGAAGAUGCAGUGUACCCGCGGCAAGACGGAAAGACCCCGUGAACCUUUACUAUAGCUUGACACUGAACAUUGAGCCUUGAUGUGUAGGAUAGGUGGGAGGCUUUGAAGUGUGGACGCCAGUCUGCAUGGAGCCGACCUUGAAAUACCACCCUUUAAUGUUUGAUGUUCUAACGUGGGCCCCUAAUCGGGGUUGCGGACAGUGUCUGGUGGGUAGUUUGACUGGGGCGGUCUCCUCCUAAAGAGUAACGGAGGAGCACGAAGGUU
RNAcentral lists this ribosomal RNA (1201 nucleotides) under Escherichia coli. RNAcentral's name for it is "partial 23S ribosomal RNA". It matches the Rfam family "Bacterial large subunit ribosomal RNA", at positions 1135 to 2318 of the family's 2925-position model. The record is from RNAcentral. Lineage: Bacteria; Pseudomonadati; Pseudomonadota; Gammaproteobacteria; Enterobacterales; Enterobacteriaceae.